GUAGAGGCCUUGGGAAAACUGGCCAGGAAGUCAAGGAAUGCACCUCAGGUGACUAAAUUUUUUUACAGUUCUGCACUUGCUGGAGAAUGACCCCAAAAGAUAAGACCAAUUUGUUGACUACCAACUGAUUUGGCUGAGCCAUGGACAGGGAGCAAAUGAGCAUUGCCUUUACCUAUGACAUGCAAGAGGAUUCUGAGACCUACCUGCAUCAGGAUCCUGAGCCCCCAGCAAGCUGAGCUGGCCAAAGCUGAGGAACUGCUAGAGCAGCAGCUGGAGCUGGACCAGGCCCUGCUGGAAGGGCAGGAGAGGGUGGUGGGCCCAGGCUCUGGUGCUCAAGAUCCAAAAGCUGAAAAAACAGAUGAAGAGGCACUGAGAGAACCUGGGAGCAGACACCCAAGCUUCCCACGGAUGCCCCCGGCACCCUCCAUCCCUGGAAAUACUGCCCACCGCCCCCCACAGGAACCCCAGGAUCAGAAACACCCCAGCCUCUCCCAGGCCUGGGAAAGCAGAAGAGACCUCCACAAAGGGCUGGCAAUUGGCAGGUAGUUGGGGAACCAGGGCUCUGCAGUCUUGGUCCCAUCCCCCUUUGACCUCACAGCAGGGCACCCAGGCCUUACAGGAAUUUACCCUGGACCAUGCCCUAAAAUAACCUCACCCCAAAUACAAUAAAAUGAGAGAGCACCCACACAUAAUGCAGAUGCACUUGUGUUUCAUGUUUAGCUAUGUUAAACAUUCUGAC
RNAcentral lists this long non-coding RNA (739 nucleotides) under Macaca fascicularis (crab-eating macaque). Its description in RNAcentral is "lncRNA (ENSMFAG00000059723.1)". The record is from RNAcentral. Lineage: Eukaryota; Metazoa; Chordata; Mammalia; Primates; Cercopithecidae.